GCUCUGGUGGCUCAAUCGGAUAGAGCGUUGGACUUCUAAUCCAAAGGUUGCGGGUGCAAGUCCCGCCCAGAGUA
Perkinsus marinus ATCC 50983 is the source of this 74-nucleotide non-coding RNA. The record is from Rfam. NCBI's taxonomy places the organism in Eukaryota, Perkinsozoa, Perkinsida, Perkinsidae.